AAAAGGCAGUAAACAUCACCAACAAUGUAUCCCGAGCAUACAUUCUGUGACGCACUAACAAAAGCAAUCACUAUAAAUCACGUUGGUCAAGGACGUGAUUCCGCGACGCCGCGCCCCUGAGCGGGCGGCGGCAACGGCCCGCGGAGUCCCUUUUCCAGGCAAACCCGCCACCGCGUGGACCCGAGCGGAACCGCACCGCCGGCCGGGAACGCCCACGCCGGGAGCCUGUCACCGCGACCGCGGACCCGCGAGCCAGACCCCAAAGGGGAAAGGGGAAGGGAAAGCAAAAGAGACAGGAUGGCCAAGAUUUCUCGCUUUGGUGCUGUAUCCUUUCUGUCCGUGAUUAACAGACAAAGGAGGCGCCUUAGACGGCUACCUGUCUCCCUCUGAGCAGCUGAGGGGCCCACGCAGUGGCGGUCAGGACAGAGCCCGGGGAGUCCUGAGCAACCAUGCCCCCCCACCCCCGCCCCCACGCCCAGAGGAAGCUGUUCUCCGAGGAACCUUGACCUCCAGGCCAGAUGGAGACCGCAGCGAGGUGCACCAGUGCACCAGUGCUGAAGCCUUCACAGACGGCAACAGAAACCUGGAGACGCUUCUCCCCCCACAUGCACUCCCCUUAGGCUUGGGGGGAGGGAGAUUGUUCUUUUAAUUUUCAACAUUAUUGUUUUUUAAUUUCAAACCUACAAAAACAUUAAAAGAAUAAAGCAAAGAAACCA
RNAcentral lists this long non-coding RNA (716 nucleotides) under Equus caballus (horse). Its description in RNAcentral is "lncRNA (ENSECAG00000038434.3)". Lineage: Eukaryota; Metazoa; Chordata; Mammalia; Perissodactyla; Equidae. The record is from RNAcentral.